GACGAACGCUGGCGGCGCGCUUAAUACAUGCAAGUCGAACGAGAAGCCAGAGCUUGCUCUGGUGGAAAGUGGCGAACGGGUGAGUAACACGUGAGAAACCUGCCCCAAAGAUUGGGAUAAGCCUUGGAAACGAGGUCUAAUACCAAAUACCUUCCUUUUAACACAUGUUAAAAAGAAGAAAUGCUCCGGCGCUUUGGGAUGGUCUCGCGAUCUAUCAGCUUGUUGGUGAGGUAACGGCUCACCAAGGCAUCGACGGAUAGCUGGUCUGAGAGGAUGUCCAGCCACAUUGGAACUGAGACACGGUCCAAACUCCUACGGGAGGCAGCAGUAGGGAAUCUUGCACAAUGAGGGAAACCUUGAUGCAGCGACGCCGCGUGCGGGACGAAGGGCCCCUAGGGUUGUAAACCGCUUUCAGUAGGGACGAAAGUGACGGUACCUACAGAAGAAGCCCCGGCCAACUAUGUGCCAGCAGCCGCGGUAAU
This 482-nucleotide ribosomal RNA is filed under the name uncultured bacterium. RNAcentral describes it as "bacterial SSU rRNA". It matches the Rfam family "Bacterial small subunit ribosomal RNA", at positions 28 to 524 of the family's 1533-position model. The record is from RNAcentral.